Bacillus rossius redtenbacheri is the source of this 3482-nucleotide long non-coding RNA. RefSeq lists it as uncharacterized. The record is from RefSeq and is a predicted model, not a curated record. The transcript has 2 exons. NCBI's taxonomy places the organism in Eukaryota, Metazoa, Arthropoda, Insecta, Phasmatodea, Bacillidae.
CGUAAAUAGGAAUUAUUUUCAAGUGAAGUUUGUUUUGUUUUCGUGCGCGUAGGAGACGAGACGUACGAAUUAAAUCAGUCGAGGGAAGGAUAAACGUUAGAAAGGAAUUAAAGAGAAAACGAGAGUUUAUGUAAAAGAGAGUUAUAGAAUUUAUAGUGAUGUUUUGUUUUAAUAAGAAAAAUGUUGAGAGUUGUUUCAGAACGACACGUCAGUGGACGUGGCAGAAUGAACACGUGACGGGGAGGUGCUGAGACCUAGCGGAGAACGGAGGAACCGCAAGCGAGGGUUGGCGCACCUGAUGGAAUUCGGUGACGUCACGGGCUCAUACGGAGACGUGGACAGGCCGUGACCUUGUUUUGAUCAGCUGUACGGUAACUUAGCGAUAAGAAAAUAGACUAUUGGUUAAAUAAAUUUAAAUUUAAGUGUGUUUUAGGAGAAGAGGAACUUUCAGUAUAUUCCUUAAGAUGAGCUGAGCAGCAGUCCAGUUUACAAGAUGACAAGAGUUCGAGAGACAAGAUACAAGAUCACUGAAACAAGAGCCAAGACUGAAGAUACAAGAGAAGAGAAAGCUGGCAGCCAUGGACUUACAAGUGGAGAUUAAUAAGGUCAUGUAAAGUUUUAUUUUUUUAUGGAAGACAGUAACUGGAGUUUUUUUGUUAUAAACAUUAUUUACAGAACUUUUUAGGUUAUAGUAAUGUAAUGGAACUAGUGAGUUGUGGUAGCUGUCAAAAAGAACUAAUACCUUAAGUUUAAUUUUUAAAGUUAAUUUUCUUAAUUUACAGAGGGAUUAGUAGUUUUUUUUAAAACCUUAUUUAGGUUGGAAUUUAAAUACAAUAGCUUAUUAUAAAUGUGUACGAACAGUUCAAGUUCACAGUACUGAUAGGUAGGUCAGAUGAUCUUAUUGAUUUUGAUGAUUUGUUGUUUUGAGUUGAUUUUUAAGUGUUGUGAAUUAGACAAUGAAAUAGUUCUGAAAACUUAAAUUAUUUCAAGCUAAGAAAUAGUAAAUUUAAUUGUAACUCGAAGGACACCAGAAUUUACUUUUUUUUUGAAUUAGUAAUGUUUGAAAAUUUUAUACUUUACAAGAAAGGUUAUAAACAAACAGAUCGGAUGGAACAAGGAUGCAGUAAAUCACAAUUUCAUUUAGAAUUAUUGAUUAGCUUUUGAGGUUAUGAAGUAAAAGUAAUUAUAGUUUAAAAGUUUGAAUAAAAAAAAAAUGUUUUUUUUUUAUUUGUUUGAAAUAGAAAGUUUAAAAGUUAAUUAGUCAUGAUCUAGGUGGGUGAUGGGGUGGGAAUUGGCCACUCUUUUUCCCUAUAACCUCCCUAACAUGGCCUUCUAUUACAACUAACAUAAAUAAAGAAGAAGAAAAAUGAAGAAUUAUUAGUUAGAAUGUUUCUUUCAUGAAGAUACCUGAUGAACUUUUACUGUUUGGAAGAAUAGAAGCAAGGUUAGUCAGAUAUUUUUACUCAGAAGAAGAAGAAGAUAAAGCAGUUUUAUGACUCGACAAGCCAGAGAUUGGUGUUUCCCCUCUGCGCUUCUAUUGACUACGUUGUUUACUCUCAUGGGAUAGCUGGUUCGGCACCAUGGAGAGAGAUUGGUGGGCAUUGUGGUUGCCCCCAGAAGAAAAGAAGAGUAGAAGAGGUUAUGGGUGGGUCAUGUGAACUGACCUUCAACCCAGUUACUUCGUGGGAACUAUUUGCUGUAUAGAGAAGAUCAAGACUCAAGAGUUAGGGAAAAUCAUUGGAGGUCAUGUUUCCCUUCCUUAAGUUUUUCCUAUCAAAUUAUUUGCCUGAUUAGAUUAUGCUAAGGGUGGGAUACUUUAUGUUAGCAGUUGAAUUAAUUAAUUUUAUUUUUUUGUGUGUUUGCAUCCUUGCCCAUCGAUUGCAGUUUAGUAGUUAGUUUUGUAUUUGUCAGGCGUGAUGGUAAUGCCUGUUGAUGAUGUUUCAGAAUUGUAAUCUGUUCGUGAUGAGGAUGGCACAACUCCGAAGCAGAUGUGGGGAGAAGUUGUGAGCUGCCCUGGAAGCCAGUCCAGUAGCUGUUGGAGUUGAGUGGUGUUUGCUGAUGGCCAGCCCAGGGAGCUACUCUUCUCGACAACACUGACUUCGAGGAGUUGCACCAACCUUCACGAGAUAAGAGUUUAAUUAAUUGAAACACUGUAAGGACACUUAAUUUUUUUUGAAGAACGAAAGAAGUAUGGUAAUAAACGGAAACCGAAAAAAAAAAUAAUAAUAAUUAUCAAGAAUUUGCACAUUGUUUAACGAAUACUGAGAAACUAAGAACAGUAAUUUAAUUUGUAAAGAGAGCUUCACUAACAGAACAAUUUUUUUAGAAUUGAGAACUCGAGCCUCUGAAGGUUCCUGUGAGAACAAACCAGAUAAAAGUUUUACAUUUAAUUUUAUGAAUACUUGUUGUUUUAAAAUAAAUCUUAUGCAGAAUCUAGAUGUAUGUUCAGACAGCAAGGAACUAAGAAAAUUAUUAUUUUUGUGAAAUGAGGAAUUUAUAGUUAUGGUUUAAUGGAAAAAGACAAUUUGUAAUUUUGAGGUAGCUCGAUGGGGCUCGAGCUCUGUGAGGGGAGGGUUAUGUCGCGGGUUGAAAUUUUGCAGGGUUGUUGAAAUCAAAUUUAGGGACUUUACUGACGGGACUCUGGGCUGGCUGCUCUGUUCACUCGUCAGCGCAAGUGGCGUGACCAUGUAAUUGGGGCACGGGGCCGGCGCGGCGCGCUGCGGGCUUGCAGAAUUUUGUUUGUUUGUUUGGCCGCGCGCUGGCGCAGCCACGGGCCGCAGUUACUGGGGCGCGCUGUCGUAACAAGCCGCGCGGUGUGGCCUGCACAUUGGGGUAGAGGGGGGGUAGUCUUCCCAGAUGUUCUAGUUAGUUGUUUAGUAAAUUUGACUUCAAUAACGAGCUUUUGUUAUGGUAGGCGCGGCAGGGCGCGCGAAUUUAAGCGCAAGUGAGUGGUGACUCGGGGCUCACUCAGGCGGAGGCUAUGCGUCUCACCUGUGGUCACGAGUUGUUAGUUCGUUCGUGAUGUAGGAAUUCAAGCUUUCGGGCGGAAGCUAUGGUCGACGCCAGAGGCCACGAGUCGUUUAAUUUAAGUUAGGUCAUAAUGUAGUCGUCAAGCUUUCGGGCGGAGGCUAUGGCCCUCGUCAGGGGUCACGCGUCAUAGUUUUUAAAAUGUAAUGUUCGUUCGGGAUUUCAAGGGCAGGAGAGGCCCCUACGUUAUUUUUUUAAAGUAAUCGAUCAAGAAAGGCUUUUCGGAAAAUGUGAGUAUGGACUUAUCUUUGUUUUAAUUUUAAGUAUUAAUUAUGAUUUGAGGUAUUCGGAAGGACUAGGGAAGUGUUUAGUGAAGUUCUCUCAUUCUCUCUCUUGUAAGGUCGUUCAAUCGUUAAGGAAGUAAAGAGAUUAUUGUUUUAAAUUGUAAUCCCGCUAUUUAAAUGUUCUUUAAAAUGAUGUUGAGUAUUUGACUUUAAGAAUAAAAUAAUUUUAAU